UUUUUGGUAGAGACGGGGUCUCCCUAUGUUACCUAGGCUGAUCUCUAACUCCUAGGCUCAAAGGAUCCACCUGCCUUGGCCUCCCAAAGUGCUGGGAUUACAGGUGUGAGCCAUUGCACUCAGCAUCAUUUAGGGGUUUUUGCCAUGCAGAACUUUAAAACAUGAAACCAAAGUUAUCAAACUUUUCUCUUUGUUUUUGGAAAUUUUCACUCACAUAUGGUAAAGGAAUUCACCCAUGUUUUCUUCUAGUAUUUGUACAGUUUUGUUUUUAACCCAUUCAGAAUUUAUACUGGUAUAUACUAUACAGAAUAAAUCCAUUUUUAUCUUUUUCAUAUGCCUAUCCAUUUGUGCCAACACUGCUUAUUUAAAAGUCUAUUUUUCCCCACUGAUUUCAGAUGCUGCUUUUAUCAUGGUCUAAAUUUCCAUGUGCAGUUAGGUUUAUUUCUGGAUAUUCUAUUCGGUUCCAUCAGUUGUCUGUUCAUUCACUUGCCAAUACAAUUUUCUUCUAAUUAUAAAGACUUUGUAAUAUGUUUUAACAUCUGGUUUAAGAUCAAGCCUCCCUCUCAUUGUUUUCCUUUUUUAGAGUUCUCCAGGCUAUUUCUGUUUAGUUGCUUUUCCAAAUGAAAUAUAUAAUCAAUUUGUUUAGCUUCAAAAAAAAAGCUGAUAAUAUUUGUAUUAUCACAAUAGAUAUCUUUAUAAUACUGAGUCUUCCUAUCUAAACUUAUGGCCUACAAUCUGUUCAUAUCUACUUUUGUGUCUUUCAGGAGUGUUUUAUUCAUGUAUGUUUUGGUCAUUUCUUAUUAUUUAUGCCUAGGUACUUUUGUUGGUUUUGCUGCAAUUAUAAAAGGAGUCUUUAAAUCUUCCAACCAGUUGUUAUUUUUAUAUAUGGAAGCUAUUCCUGGCUGGGCGUGGUGGCUCACACCUGUAAUGGCAGAACUCGGAGAGGCCAAGGCAGGAUCGCUUGAGGUCAGGAAUUCAAGACCAGCCUGGGCAAGACUCUAUCUCUAUUUUAAUUUUUUUAACCUAUGGCUUUCUAUAUAUUGAUUUUAUAACUUGCACUUUACUGAAUUCUAUUAAGUGUUUGGCAGUUUUUCCAAUUUUUUUUUUUUUUUUUUUUUUUUUUUUUUUUUUAGUUUUCCUAUAUAUAAUAAAUAAUCUGUAAACAGAAAUAAUUUUAUCUCUUUGUCUCUAAUUCAUAUGCCUCUCUCUACUGGCACUGGAUGAUAAUUUCAAACUGGUUUUAAAGAGUAAUGAUGAUAUUGUCCAUCCUUGUCUUAUGCCUGAAUUUGGCAGGUGUUUCUCGAUUAAGUAAGAUGCUGACUUUAGGGAUGAGAUGCAUAUAAUUUUCAGAUGCAUUUUUAGUUCCCAAUAAAUCUGUCACUCCUCCUAUUGAGGCUGAGAUGGUACUUCAGGAUAAAGCAAAAAUCACCAAGAAUAGUUGCUUUUCGAAUGUUAAUGUAC
RNAcentral lists this long non-coding RNA (1461 nucleotides) under Macaca fascicularis (crab-eating macaque). RNAcentral describes it as "lncRNA (ENSMFAG00000059039.1)". Lineage: Eukaryota; Metazoa; Chordata; Mammalia; Primates; Cercopithecidae. The record is from RNAcentral.